RNAcentral lists this transfer RNA (120 nucleotides) under Stegodyphus mimosarum. It matches the Rfam family "tRNA". From Rfam's summary of the family: Transfer RNA (tRNA) molecules are approximately 80 nucleotides in length. Their secondary structure includes four short double-helical elements and three loops (D, anti-codon, and T loops). Lineage: Eukaryota; Metazoa; Arthropoda; Arachnida; Araneae; Eresidae. The record is from Rfam by way of RNAcentral.
GUCAGGAUGGCCGAGCGGUCUAAGGCGCCAGACUCAAGGUAUAUCCUUACCCUGUUAUGCAGGGUUGUUGAGUGUUCUGGUCCGCGAAUGUGAGCGUGGGUUCGAAUCCCACUUCUGACA